This is a non-coding RNA of Pelobates cultripes (western spadefoot toad), 324 nucleotides long. The record is from the annotation of a GenBank genome assembly. NCBI's taxonomy places the organism in Eukaryota, Metazoa, Chordata, Amphibia, Anura, Pelobatidae.
CUGUCAAACAUAAUCAUCUCUCCAAUCAUUGUUCCACAUACUGGGAGUGUCACACAUGACAGGAUAAUCCAGCCACUAGAAUACCUAAUUAUUAAAUAGUUUUAUUGAUAAAGAGAUCUCUUUUUAAUGGCAUGUAAUGAAGCUAAAUGAUCUCAAUGAAUCAAACACUGCCGAAGCGGAAUUACUUACAUAUCCGGUUCAAUUGCCAAGUGUCAGUCACAUGACCAGCGUCUUUGAUUCAUUGAGAUCACUUAGCUUCAUUACAUGCCAGUAAAAGAGAUCUCUUUAUCAAUAAAACAUUGCAUUGUUAAGAUAGGAAGCAAU